UACGUAGGGUGCAAGCGUUGUCCGGAAUCAUUGGGCGUAAAGAGCGUGUAGGCGGCUCGGUAAGUCCGCUGUGAAAGUCCAGGGCUCAACCCUGGAAUGCCAGUGGAAACUGUUGAGCUAGAGUCCGGAAGAGGCGAGUGGAAUUCCUGGUGUAGCGGUGAAAUGCGCAGAUAUCAGGAGGAACACCAAUGGCGAAGGCAGCUCGCUGGGACGGUACUGACGCUGAGACGCGAAAGCGUGGGGAGCAAACAGG
This 253-nucleotide ribosomal RNA is filed under the name uncultured bacterium. RNAcentral describes it as "partial 16S ribosomal RNA". It matches the Rfam family "Bacterial small subunit ribosomal RNA", at positions 524 to 776 of the family's 1533-position model. The record is from RNAcentral.